RNAcentral lists this ribosomal RNA (484 nucleotides) under uncultured bacterium. RNAcentral describes it as "partial 16S ribosomal RNA". It matches the Rfam family "Bacterial small subunit ribosomal RNA", at positions 30 to 507 of the family's 1533-position model. The record is from RNAcentral.
AUUGAACGCUGGCGGCAGGCCUAACACAUGCAAGUCGAGCGGAUGAAGGGAGCUUGCUCCUGGAUUCAGCGGCGGACGGGCGAGUAAUGCCUAGGAAUCUGCCUGGUUGUGGGGGAUAACGUCCGGAAACGGGCGCUCAUACCGCAUACGUCCAGAGGGAGAAAGUGGGGGAUCUUCGGACCUCUCGCUAUCAGAUGAGCCUAGGUCGGAUUAGCUAGUUGGUGGGGUAAAGGCGUACAAAGGCGACGAUCCGUAACUGGUCUGAGAGGAUGAUCAGUCACUCUGGAACUGAAACACCGUCCAGACUCCUACGGGAGGCAGCAGUGGUGAAUAUUGGACAAUGGGCGAAAGCCUGAUCCAGCCAUGCCGCGUGUGUGAAGAAGGUCUUCGUAUUGUAAAGCGCUGUAAGUUGGGAGGAACGGCUGUAAGUUACUACCUUGCUAUUUUGACGUUACCAACAGAAUAAGCACCGGCUAACUUCGUG